Molecule: long non-coding RNA, 730 nt
Organism: Dunckerocampus dactyliophorus (ringed pipefish)
Lineage: Eukaryota; Metazoa; Chordata; Actinopteri; Syngnathiformes; Syngnathidae
Exons: 3
Source: RefSeq, a predicted model, not a curated record
UAUUAUAUAUAAAAGACACAUGCCAUAUAAAUACAAAUACAAAUAAAUACAAACACACAAUUUCACUCCCAUCUUAGUAAAUUUCACCUACAAUUUCAACAGAUACAUAAUCAGAGUAUCACUAUGUCUUUGGAGAUAUUAAAUGUCAAUGUGUACUACAUUACCCAGAAGGCUUGCCGCUCGAGGGGAAACCGGAAGUAUAUACGCUGUCGUUGAAGGUACAACCGAGUAAGGGUAAUGUGCUAAUAAAGCAAUAAGGGGUUUAUAGAGGUGUGUAGUUUGUUGGACAACCAACAAACACAACAUUAAUUAACUAGUUGGAUUGUAAUUAUGAUGGUUUCAGCGGCGCACUGAUUGUGUGUUUGUGCACAACUACCGCACAAGCUGCAGAUAUCUGCUGGAAAAGAACGCACCACAAAGAGAAAGACAGUAUCUCGUGCUACACCUGACGUAUUUGUACUUGGUGGAAUUCUGCCCACAAUGAAGACUCUAAGGAACAGUUUAUCGAAGGCCCUUUUCUGUGUGGAAGAACGCGAGUGCCCUGACCUGAACCUUAUGAAACACCUUUGGGAUGCAAAAAUGAACACGGAAACACUCCAGAAUCUUUUGGAAAGCCUCCUAGGAGAGCGUAAGCUGUUUUAGCUGCAAAGGCCAGCGCGGUGGAUACCAUGUUGGAAUGUAUUUUUGUGUGUCCCAAUACUUUAGUCCAUAUAGUGUGCAUGAUGCAAUA